UCUUUCAAGAUAUUUUUUGAGCAUUCCAAUUUAUAUGCUUACUUUGGAUUGUGCCCCCUCCACCUGUGGUCCGGGAGAGGGUUUAAAUAUCAUGAAUUGUACUAGAGAUCAUGUGAUUUUUUAUGAUUUUAAUAAUCAACAAAAUAAAUUUUCGAUUUUUCUUUUGUCUAUUAAAGGACUUGUGCAUUGACAAUGGCACAACUGUGUGACUCAAGAACGACUUUGUCAAUUUUNCAAGGUGUAUGUUGUUCAUCUUUGUGGUACAGGGUACCAAAAGAUGCCCCAGCAAGCAUUGACUUAGGGACAUACAUGUUCCACCAGGCAGAUAAUUACAAAGGAACGAAUACUAGAAAAGUCGCAACUUUGUACCCUGCAUGGCAAAGCUGCNGUACUUUCAUAAUAAACAAAGAACUGCAAUUCAGUCCAGCUACAAAGACAAGCCUUCCAGAGAACGAACGUUAUGUCCUUCAUCGAAGUGCAGGCCGUUCUAAAGGAAGAGGUUGUGAUGAAAUUGUUUCCAACAUAGUAAUGCCAUUAGGUGCACAUGGUCUAAAAGAGCUGCUCCAAUGUAUGAAGGACCUGCUGACAAGUAACUUCCCUGCAGCAUGUCUUGCCUUGGGGGGGCACGGUCAUGAGCCUUGGAUACCAAAGAAUCGUCCAAGUAGUAGGCUCAUGUCCUGUAGUCUUACUUACAGGGGACACAGAAACAUCUAAAAUCACUGUUUUAAGGGCAUGCAUGUCCAUAACAGGAAAUGCAGACAUUAAAGACUACACCUGUAAAAUGGCCCUUGAGAGAUCGAAGUUAUGUGAUUUGCCCUUUGCCUGGGAUGACCCAUCAUCACCAGAUGACGUUAAGUUUAUAGUCCAAGCCCU
RNAcentral lists this unclassified non-coding RNA (873 nucleotides) under Actinia tenebrosa (Australian red waratah sea anemone). Its description in RNAcentral is "uncharacterized LOC116288146, transcript variant X1". Lineage: Eukaryota; Metazoa; Cnidaria; Anthozoa; Actiniaria; Actiniidae. The record is from RNAcentral.